RNAcentral lists this ribosomal RNA (614 nucleotides) under uncultured beta proteobacterium. RNAcentral's name for it is "partial 16S ribosomal RNA". Lineage: Bacteria; Pseudomonadati; Pseudomonadota; Betaproteobacteria. The record is from RNAcentral.
GGGAGCUCUCCCAUAUGGUCGACCUGCAGGCGGCCGCGAAUUCACUAGUGAUUCGUAUUACCGCGGCUGCUGGCACGUAGUUAGCCGGUGCUUCUUAUUCCGGUACCGUCAUCCACACAGGGUAUUAACCCAUGCGUUUUCUUCCCGGCUGAAAGAGCUUUACAACCCGAAGGCCUUCUUCACUCACGCGGCAUGGCUGGAUCAGGGUUGCGCCCAUUGUCCAAAAUUCCCUACUGCUGCCUCCCGUAGGAGUCUGGACCGUGUCUCAGUUCCAGUGUGGCGGAUCAUCCUCUCAGACCCGCUACAGGUCGUCGCCUUGGUGAGCCUUUACCUCACCAACUAGCUAAUCUGAUAUCGGCCGCUCAAUCAGCGCAAGGUCUUGCGAUCCCCUGCUUUCCUGCUCACAGAAUAUGCGGUAUUAGCGUAACUUUCGCUACGUUAUCCCCCACUGAAAGGUACGUUCCGAUACAUUACUCACCCGUUCGCCACUCGCCACCAGGAUUGCUCCCGUGCUGCCGUUCGACUUGCAUGUGUAAGGCAUGCCGCCAGCGUUCAAUCUGAGCCAUGAUCAAACUCUAAUCGAAUUCCCGCGGCCGCCAUGGCGCCCGGGAGCA